This 7242-nucleotide long non-coding RNA is filed under the name Brassica napus (rape). Its description in RNAcentral is "long non-coding RNA (BNAP_LNC014566)". Lineage: Eukaryota; Viridiplantae; Streptophyta; Magnoliopsida; Brassicales; Brassicaceae. The record is from RNAcentral.
GAAGCACGAACUUGGAACAGACAGAUUCAUGGUUGAGCUGUGGAGCAAGAGGAGAGACCAUCAUCGAAGUCGCCAUAUUUGAUCCGAUGAAGAAGAAGAUGAUUGGAAGUUUGGAACGAAGGAUGUGUUUAGUUUGGGGAUGUUUGAGGUGAAACUAGGGAUUGCUUGUCGUUUUUGCUGUCGUCAGAUGAAGAUGAUGCAAGUAAGCACAGUCAAAUCUCUACCAAACCAGAAUCGGUUUGGUCUUGGUACCGGUACAGAUCAAUCAGUGUCUUUAACCGGCUCCGUCUCGAUAAAUUUCUGCCCGGUUUCAUAUCUAUUUUUAUUAAUCAGGGGUUUUGCUUAAGAAAUUACUUUUCUUAUAUGAUAUUAAUAACUUUGACCAAAAAAAAAAUGAUAUUAAUAACAAUUAAGAUUUGAUUCCUUAAAUAUCUAGACGAUCUGGUUACCUAAUUAACAACCUAGUUUCUUUUAUUAUACAUAGUAUAUUAAAUAAUAUAUUAUUAGAUAAAUUAUUUAAUUAAACAAAAAUUAUUUUUUUGUUUGCUUUAUUAUUAGUUGGAAUUUAUUUUUCUCAAAUGUCUUUUCUAUAUCUCUAGGUGGAUAUUUGCUUUUUCUAACAAUUUAACUUUAUUAAUAACUAGAUACGGAUCCGCGCUGUGCACGGAUAUUGUUAUAUCUACUUUUUACAGAAAAAAUAGUGGUAAUAUAUAUUUAUAUAAUAUUUUUAUGUUAUUUAUUUGUAAAUAAUACAUUUUUAAAGAUAUAUUGAAUUGUGGUGUUGUUACAAAAUAUUUUGUACAUGGUGUUUUUUUUGUGUGCAUAAAUUUUAAAUGUUGUACAUGGUGUUUUUUUCUUAUAAUGUUAGAAUUUUCGUUUGUAAUUUAAUAUUUUGAUAUAAAAAUGUGAUUGUCAAUUUAUGUUCUUUAAAAUAUUUUUAUAUGUUAUUUAAAAUAUAUUAUUAACAUAUUUGGCGCAAAUAUUUUUUGGAUUUACUUUUAAGAAUAUAAGUUUGGACAAAAAAUUAUGAUAUAGUUUAAUAUGUUUUUAAAAUAUAUGGACAAUUUAAAUUAACUGAGAUUAUAUUAUAUAAUUUUAAUAUAUGUUUUAUGGGUAUUAUUUUUUUCUUAUAUAUAUAUAUCUUUUUAUAAUUUAACAUGUGAAUAUAAUAGGGAGGUCGAAAAAUAAGGGAGAAAAUCUUGUUUGGCAAAAAAAUCAACUUUCAAAUAAGAGAAUGUCGUAAAAAAAUAAAUUGUAGUUAUUGAUUAUUUGGUGUGCAAGUCAAGUUAGUCUAGAUUUCAUCAAAUCUUUCUUAAUAAUAUAUUUCUCAGAAAUUUUCAUGUUUACUGUUUUGUUGAUACUAUUAUUGAUGUUUAUCACCAUUAAAGAGACAUUUUCAAAAAUAUAUUCUUCAUAAAAAAUAAAAAGACUCUUACACCCUUGAAAAUCGAAAUUUUUUUUUGAAAUUAUUUUUAAAAAAUUUAUAUAAUUUUAAGUUUGUAUUUAUAUAUUUAUUGGAAUCAUAAAUUUCACAUUCCAGAAACCAUACCACACCUUUCAAUUUUAAAACAUAAGUCUAGAUUAGUUAAUCCUAUGGUUAUAAAUGUUUUUUUCUCUCUUUAAAAAUGAGAGUAAAAGUGAUUACUGUAAACAUGAAAAAUAGUAUUAUGAAUGUGAUAUUUUUGACAAUUUCUCUAUCUUUCUAAUUUUCUUGUAGAUAAGGAUUGUUUAUGAAAUUAGUAAAUAAAAAAUAAUGUAAUUUCUAACUUCUACUGUAUUUCAAAAAAACAAUUUUGCAUAAGUUAUAUUUUAUAUGAUUGAAGUUUAUAUAUGAUUGAAGUUUAUAUAAUAACAUAUUAUGUUCAUAAUGGUAGGUAUCUCUAAGUUUAACAAAGAAUCAAUCAACUUAGAGCAUAUUAACAUAUGUCACGAAAAUGAGGUGUAAAAAGAGUUAUUAUAUCUAAUCUUUCUAUUAACAUAAGAAACCAAACAUAUACAUGUUCUUUGUGUGAUGAUAUGAUGUCGAUGAGAAAAUCAUAAAGCAAGUUUCAUCUUUAGAAAAAGUUAGUCCAAGUGAGAGUUAUUGUAUUGCUAAUAUAAUUGUAUAUACAAUCGGUCCACUUUAAUUUUAAUUAGAAGAUAAUUCGUUUGGUUUACUUAUAAUAGGUUAAGAUUGUUGGUUUAAUUUAAGUUGUCUGGUUUUAAUGUAACUAACUUGAUAUGAUCCAUAAAUUAACAUACUAACAAAUUUGAAAUAGUCCAAAAUUUAAAUGACAACUUUAAUGAUAGAUAAAUUUAGGACUCUAUUUUAAUAGAGUAGAUUUUGUAAGGAUCUUUUACAAAUACAUACACAAUGAAAACAUAACAAAUAACAUAGGUUAUAUAAUAAAAAAACAAAAGAACUAAAAAAGAGUAAGAUAUUUGAGAAGUUUUGCGAUCUUUACAUCUUUGUCGCAUUAGAAACAUCAAUUAAUUAUCUUUGUUGUGUUAUAUUGGUCUUAAUCCAAUUUAGAUCUAUAUAUAUUUUUCGGUUUAGAAUCCAAUAUAUUGAUUCAACCGUAAGAAAAAAAAUUGAAAAGACCAAUUUUCAACGAUUGUAUGUAUAUUGCCAUACAACAAAAAGAUUCUUCCUUCAGUCUUUAGAUCCUCUUUUGUAUCUCGAAUCCAUGGCGGUUUUCUUGGAGGACAUUUUCUCCAUAACAAAUGACUUGAUUCGAAAAUCAACACAAUUUGGUUAAUUGUUUUUUCAUCAAUCAUAGCUGUAAAAUCCAUGUCGGAAACUGCAACGUCGUAUUGAAAGAAAGAGAGAUUAACCUUCAAUCCGCUGUAGAUGAAUUUCUUCUCAAGUAAAGGGAAGAAUAAGAGAUUAACCUUCGAUCACUUAGGCCUAAUAAACAACAAUCAUUAAUACAAAUAAAACUCAAUUCAAUAAGAAUUUGUGAUAAAUAUAAGCAAUUAGUGCCAUAUAUCUCAGAUUCCUGACUACACUAUAAUAGUAACAAUGAAAUUGUCUAGACAAAACAAAACCAAAGAAUGGCAAUGCAAGAAGAAACUUUCGUAAUUGAUCCAAACAGAAACAAACAGUUGGUUUACAAGUAGUAGCAAUUCUAAACAAGAUCACUAUUACAUUAACCUAUUUAACUAUCAUAUAUAUAACACUAGGAUCGGCCAGCGGAAGUUAUUAUAAAAUAUUUUACAUGAAUUUAUAUUAACUUAUGAAACAUUUAAAAUUAUUAUGUAUUGAAAAUAAUAUUAUAAACAAAAAAAUAAUGGAAAUAAUUCUGAGAUCAUAUUGUUAUUGUUAAUAAAUAUUUUUGAUUUGAAUUAAAAUGACAACAACUUUCAUUAUUCUCUAUCGUUAAAUAAUACAAUAUUAACAAAAAUAAUUAAGAAAAUGUAAUAAUAGAAAUAUUCUUAUUAUUUCUAUUUCAAUUUGACAUAGUAAAAAUAUAAAGUUUAUACAAAUAAUACUAUAUUUAUUUUAAGAAGCUUCAAAUUUUUAAAAACAUUAACAUAAUUUUUUUUUGCUUCAAGAUUUGGUAGUGCGACCCAUAUACCUCCCUCGGUGCUUAGCCGUGGCAUCGGAUGGCAAGGCGUAGGCGUUUUGCUGAAUGGAUUGUUUGGAACUGCAACCGGUUCAACAGCUUUGGUGUAAUGAAAUCAAAUCUCUUUAAUAUAGAACGUUCUCAGGUGCCGGAUCUUAAACUUUGUUGUUUUUUGUUUGUUCUUGUAGUGAAAAUACAGGGCUGCUUGGACUAACAAAGGUUGGGAGCAGAAGAGUGGUUCAGAUAUCUGCUGGUUUCAUGAUCUUCUUCUCCAUUUUUGGUAAUACUCCAAUCAUGUGAAAUUACUUGGAAACAAUUUUAAUUGCUAGGCAGUAAUUAUAUACUUUUUAUAGGAGAUUAAUGAUUAGGCGGAUGCGAUUUCAGAAAAAAAAAUCGGUUAAGAAAAAUCGGUUAAGAAAAAUCGUUUUCUUUAGAUACGAUUCGCACCCUACACCGAUUUUUAGAACAUUACUCUUAACCAUUACUAACCUUGUGAAAAAAAUACAGGCAAGUUUGGGGCUGUUCUUGCGUCGAUACCAUUACCGAUAUUUGCAGCAUUGUACUGUGUUCUAUUCGCCUAUGUUGGUAUGUAUAUCUCAAGAACUAGACUCUUUCUACUCAUUUUAGCUUUUUCUAUAAAUGUGAUUGAGAUCAGGCAGAGGACCUUGUGAACAGCUUCUGCAGGACUUGGCCUGCUUCAGUUCUGCAACUUAAACAGCUUCAGGACUAAAUUCAUCCUCGGCUUCUCCAUCUUCAUCGGUCUAUCUGUCGCACAAUACUUCACAGAGUAUCUAUUUAUCUCUGGUCGUGGACCCGUUCACACUCGCACUUCUGCUGUAAGUGUAUUACAUCAUCACUUUAUGUUUGUUUGUCUUGUGUGUACUGAUUCGUUUGUCAUGGACGCAGUUCAAUGUGAUAAUGCAAGUGAUAUUCUCUUCGGCUGCAACCGUUGGGAUAAUGGCAGCCUUCUUGUUGGACUGUACUCAUAGCUACGGACACCCCUCGGUGAGGAGAGACAGUGGAAGACAUUGGUGGGAGAAGUUCAGAGUCUACUACACUGACACUCGAACUGGAGAGUUCUACGCAUUGCCUUAUAACCUCAAUCGAUUCUUCCCUUCUUUCUAAAAAUCUGAGACUCAGUUUCUUCAGCAUCUAGAGAUAUAUAUAUGUACCACAAAAGCAAGAUUCCAACUAGAAAAUUAUGUUUCUAAAUAAUCUUGUUUUUCUUGUUACCAACACUUUCGCAUGAGUUUGCUUAGAGAUUGUAACAGCUACAUAUUCCAGAGUGACUAGGCAAAUUGAGAUUCAAACUCUUUUCUUUUCUGGUGAGUAAACUGAUCAUCUUAGUCCGGCUGGAGAUGUUGGACUGCCUCCUCCAGGUCUUCCCAUGGCUCUCUGGGCCAGAGAUCCAUCGUAAUCCUAAACAAACGUAUUUUUCGAUUUUAACAUGAAAGCCAACAUAAAGACAACUUGGUUUAGGUUGAUACAAAGUAUAAUUUGAAACAUACUCGCUUCUCGAAGGAACUAUCCUGCGAGUCAGCUAUCUUGUCUGCGAUACCAUAGUCAAUGGCUGCUUGUGCUUGGAGAUAUUUAGGUCGCUUGAUGUCCUCGUUGAUCUGCUCUUUGGUUUUACCUGUUCCCUUAGCUAACAGCUCAAUGUAAUACUCAGUAUUUGCAUCGAGCUCCUUGGCCUGUCAGAGGAGGAAUAUUCAUUAACAGUACAAGUGAAGAAAAUUUCAAGGGAUUACAUAAGAGAGUACAAGAGUGAGAGGGCCACCUUAAUCCACAUGUCAAUGGCAGCUCCACUUGAUCUGUUUACUUUUGGCAGAUACAAUUUUGCUGCACCAUAAAACAUCAGAACUUAGAAGCUUCCACAAGAGGUACUAAUAAGCAUGUCAUGAUCUAAUGCAAGUUUAAGGCUUCGAAUGGUAACAUGCGGAACAACAACUAAAGUGCGGUUUCUAAAAGUAACAAAAACGUAAAUGUAAAGACUUUUUUAAUACUAACUGCGGUGCGGUUUUGUCCGUUAGCAUUUGAAGUCUAAAAGUAGAUAUAUUUUGAGAGGAGAGAACCAUACUUGAUGAAUGUGGCUGAACUGCACGAUAACCCUUUUUACCGAGAGAAAGAAGCAUUGCUGCUUGACCAAAAGCCAUGCCACAGUUGAUAGUGUAUACAUCUGAUUUGCAAUACUUUUAACCCACACAAAAAAAGAAUAGAAAAGUGAAUUGAUUACUGUAUCAUCACAAUGAAUAUAAAUGCACAGAUUCUUUUAGUAAGAUAGACUUACAGAAAUGGUGUCAGCUAUGGCAUAAGCCUCUGUUUCUGACCCAACAGUCUCCAUCUUCUCAUUCUACAUGGCAUUUAGCAAAAUAAAAUAAGCAGAUUGUCCAGAUAAUUCCAUCAAAAGACUUAAUUGAACUGACCUGAGUCCCGGGUGAGUUUAUGUAUAGGUAGAUGGGCUUUGCUGGGUUGUCAUAGUCUAACCACAUAAACUGAGCAACGAGUAACUCAGUAACUGCAGGUACGAUCUGCGAGUGAAUCGAAGCAAGAUCAAUGCCUGAGCAGAGAGGAAACAUAGUAACAGUAAGUUAAUAUCGACACAUGGAGAAGUCUUACUGGCAUGCCAAGGUAGCAUAUGCGAGCAUCCAAAAGCAAAGAAGGCAAAUCCGGAGGAGCAGUUCUUGGUCUUGCAGAUCCUCCGCCGCCGCCUCCACCUCUGUACAUUUGGACACUCAUGCUGUAUCUCCUAGGAUCUGCUGCAUUCAUACCAGACAUACUCCACGUUCCUCCGUUGUCCAAAUAAUUUCUUCUGGACGAGAUGCUUUCCUAUUAACAACAAAGAAGCAUGCCAAAAAAAAGACAAAGACUCAUAUAUUAGAGAAGAAACUUUGUAACUGUAAAAUGGAAUAUGAUAAGAUGGAUUAAAAGAGAAUAUUAACCUCUGUAACUUUCUCCGCUUGCCUGCGGACAGGGCUGUCCUCUGUCAUGAACAUAUCCAUUUGAGCUGGAUUAAGACCGUAGAAAUACUGUGGUACAUUCUUGAAGUUCUGCGUCACUUAAAAAAAAAAGGCAAGGAACAUAGAAUGUCAGAUCAAGUUGAAAGCAAAUAUUGACGAAUUGAAAUCUCAACAAAGAGUUGCAGCAAUCAAACUAAUAUUUUAAGAUUCCAUAUUACACAGACAACAUAACAUAUAAAGGGCAAAAGGCUUUCACUACUUGUUGAAACUGGUGGAGCCAAAGACAUAAUCUUUAGCACUAAGGUAGUUCGUGUAAGCUAAAGAAUCAGAGGAAAAUAGAGAACUUUGUGACCCAAUUCAUCACCAAAGAAAGACAACCUAAACGGAUAAGGUUGAGACCUAAUAACAAAUCUAUACGAAGGAAAAAAAAAAGUAAAAGCACAAAGCUGAGGGAGAAGUAGAAAACCUCCAUCUUUGAGAUUGUCUCCACGAAAUUGUUUGGGGAUGUGGUCAAAGCUCAUAUCUUUAGCAGAAGCGAAGCAGUUCGGUCUUCUUGUGCGUCGAGGAACGCUAGAGCAAGGCAUGUUCGAGGAGAAGAGCUUAGAUCCCGACAUGAAGGGUGAUUUGGGAAGCACGAACUUGGAACAGACAGAUUCAUGGUUGAGCUGUGGAGCAAGAGGAGAGACCAUCAUCGAAGUCGCCAUAUUUGAUCCGAUGAAGAAGAAGAUGAUUGGAAGUUU